AGAAUCAACGCUGGCGGCGUGCCUAACACAUGCAAGUCGAACGAGAAAGUGGAGCAAUCCAUGAGUAAAGUGGCGACCGGGUGAGUAACACGUGACUAACCUACCCUUGAGUGGGGGAUAACUGAGGGAACCUUAGCUAAUACCGCAUAAUACCCACGGGUCAAAGGAGCAAUUCGCUCGAGGAGGGGUCGCGGCCGAUUAGUUAGUUGGCGGGGUAAUGGCCCACCAAGACGAUGAUCGGUAU
RNAcentral lists this ribosomal RNA (244 nucleotides) under uncultured bacterium. RNAcentral describes it as "partial small subunit ribosomal RNA". It matches the Rfam family "Bacterial small subunit ribosomal RNA", at positions 26 to 286 of the family's 1533-position model. The record is from RNAcentral.